This 791-nucleotide ribosomal RNA is filed under the name Bradyrhizobium sp. TSBF-333. RNAcentral's name for it is "bacterial SSU rRNA". It matches the Rfam family "Bacterial small subunit ribosomal RNA", at positions 72 to 873 of the family's 1533-position model. The record is from RNAcentral. Lineage: Bacteria; Pseudomonadati; Pseudomonadota; Alphaproteobacteria; Hyphomicrobiales; Nitrobacteraceae.
UUUUUACGUGUACUCUCUACAGCGGGUGAAAUACGCUCAGCGGCAGACGGGUGAGUAACGCGUGGUAACGUACCUUUUGGUUCGGAACAACACACGGAAACUUGUGCUAAUACCGGACAAGCCCUUACGGGGAAAGAUUUAUCGCCGAAAGAUCGGCCCGCGUCUGAUUAGCUAGGUGGUGAGGUAAUGGCUCACCAAGGCGACCAUCACUAGCUGGCCUGAUAGGAUGAUCAGCCACAUUGGGACUGAGACACGGCCCAAACUCCUACGGGAGGUAGCAGUGGGCAACAUUGUACAAUGGGGGCAACCCUGAUCCACCCAUGCCGCGUGAGUGAUGAAGGCCCUAGGGUUGUAAAGCUCUUUUGUGCCGUAAGAUAAUGACGGCACCGCAAGAAUAAGCCCCGGCUAACUUCGUGCCAGCAGCCGCGGGAAUACGAAUGGGGCUAGCGUUGCUCGGAAUCACUGGCCGUAAAGGGUGCGUAGGCGGGUCUUUAAGUCAGGCGCGAAAUCCUGGAGCUCAACUCCAGAACUGCCUUUGAUACUGACGAUCUUGAGUUCGGGAGAGGUGUAGUGCAACUGCCCAGUGUACACGGGAAAUUCGUAUAUAUUCGCAAGAAACACCCAUGGCGAAGGCGGCUCACUGGCCCCGAUACUGUACUCUGAUUCCACGAAAAGCCCUGGGGAGGCAAAACAGAGAUUAGGAUAUCCUUGGGUAGAUCCUCUGCCCGUAAAACCGAUGAAAGGCCUAGGCCCGUUAGUUGGGGUUGUACUUCCCCUAGAUGGGGCGCCCC